UACAGAGACUGCAAGCGUUAUUCGGAUUCAUUGGGCGUAAAGGGUGUGUAGGUGGCGCCGUAAGUCGGGUGUGAAAUUUCGGAGCUUAACUCCGAAACUGCAUUCGAUACUGCGGUGCUUGAGGACUGGAGAGGAGACUGGAAUUCAUGGUGUAGCAGUGAAAUGCGUAGAGAUCAUGAGGAAGACCAGUGGCGAAGGCGGGUCUCUGGACAGUUCCUGACACUGAGACACGAAGGCCAGGGGAGCAAACGGG
This 253-nucleotide ribosomal RNA is filed under the name uncultured bacterium. RNAcentral describes it as "partial 16S ribosomal RNA". It matches the Rfam family "Bacterial small subunit ribosomal RNA", at positions 524 to 776 of the family's 1533-position model. The record is from RNAcentral.